AGAGACUGCAGUUUAUGCAAACAGAAUGAGUACAGGUACUAAUCUAAAUAUCAUAAUCUGUAGGUAUCUCCAUAUUAAUAGCUGGUGAUAUAAAAAAAAAUUGUAGGAAUUGUAGGAAACUGAUUUUUUUUGUGCAAAAAUAUGGCAAAAAUAGAUGAUUUAGGCAGAUUUGCCAACUCUGCUAUAGUCACAUCUCAAUUUGGGUUUAGAUUUACUAAAAUUGUUAAGUCUAUUACCUUCAGUGGGAUUUGUGAAUUAUAAAAUAAAGAAUGCUUGCAAAUUCCCUAUCUAUUGUGCUUCUCUAGACUGGGUACUCAUUGACUAUGAGUACUUAUUGAAUAUAACCCUUUACUAGCAAAUUCUUCUAAUUGUAACAAAUAGAAAAUUAAAUUUAUUCAAAAAAAAUAAACUUUCAGCUAGCACAUUAACAUAGGAAAAAAAUAGCAAUUUUGAGUACAACUUGCUGUUCUGGAAUGCCUAAAAAUUUAAAUUAUGUUAAUACACACAAUCAUUUUUUUUUUAAAUGUAUUUUCUUUUAUAUAUAAAUAUAACAGUAAUGUAUUUUAAAAUGCAUAAAAUUGCUUAAAAUUCUAUUUUAUUUCCUAAAGGGCAUAUACUGUAAAUAUAAAAUAAAUAAUACAUUUUAUAAAAUAUUACAAAUAUUAUUUAAUAUUAGUAAAUAUUAAAUUAAGUCAUAAAUGUUAUUCCUGAGAUUAUAAAUUAUAUGGAAAAAAUAUAUAAUAAAGAAUAUAAAUAGGUUUGUUUUUUUUUCGACACAUAAAAAAUAAAAUCUCUCUAAAUUAAAUUUAUAUUGAACUGAAAUCCAGAUAACUAAUGUAGGCAAAACUAUCUAACAUUUUUCAACUCAAUAUCAUAUAUUUCAGAUAUUAUUACAGCUUGGCUAAUUAAGCCUCAAGUUUGCAAUUUUAUUUUCAUUUCACUACUGUGUGGAGUUUAGUGAAAAGUGCUAUUUAUUUUAUUUAGUGUGAAUAGUGCUAUUUUUUAUUUAUAUGCGAAAGGAUGAAUAAGUGUACAUAAAUGAAUAAGUGGAUUUAUUGGCCUUAUAGAUUUAUGUAAGAUAGUUAUGUAGUGUAAGCAGGAUCAACUUUGCUGUCAGAUUGCAAUGCGGUAGUCGCCUGAUUUUUUUUUUUUUUUUUAAAGAGGUUUGCUUUAACUUUCGUAGGUGAGCUCAUGCUUUAUAGAGGAGACUUUUUUAGAAGAGGGAACGUUCCUAAUUUCUUCAUCCCUGUAAAUGCUGUUUUAGUGUUCAAAAGUGUUAGACACUUUUGCUCAGUAAAAACCAAAGAAAAAAGUUACCUGCGCUCUCGCCCCUAUCAAUAUUUAAACAAAUGGAGGUUAUUUAGUUACUCCAAUGGCCAUUGGAGGGAAUGCCCACCUGCCACGUCAAGUCAGACCUCUCAGGUGGGUCCUACACUAAGCUUUCACCUUGCUUCCUUGAGCCUCUGGCAAAUAUAUCUCUAAUGAGACAGAAAGGGGUAUUUUUUAUUUACACCCCUAUAUACUUAUUAACCCUAUAGAGAACACAUGAGAUGGGCGGCAGCAUUGUAACAUAGCUCAGUAUGUAAGUUAAACAAUAGAUAUCUGGCACAUAAUGUGGUUAUACUAGCAAGAUCACAGUUCCUCUUUAAUAGUAGUAUGAGUAAACGUCUACUAUCAGUGGUGGUGAGUUUGUCAGUGUGGUAAGGAAACUAAUUAUUAGUGUGUUAGACAUGAUUAAAUCUGCAGUCCCCCCUCCCCCCCCCCUCCCUUUAGUAGUGACUAGAGAUACUGUUGUGGGGCUGGCCAAUUAGUCAUGUUAACAUUUUGGGAUAUUUUUGAAACAAGAAUUACAUUUUCUGAGUAUAUAGUCUUGCAUUAGGUCAUGAGAUCACAUAUGCCCUAAAAGACAGGAUCAUGUAAAUAAUCAGUGGGUGGGAUUUACAAUAAGACGAUUAUUUUCUUUAAUAUUAUUUCUUUUAUACUGGUUAUUGAAUAUUUUUCUUUCUCAAACUAGUGUAUGAAGUCCCAGAAGAAAUUAAUCGGAAACAUCAAGGGGUAAAAUAUAUUUACUAUGUUUUUAUAUACGUGUUUAUCAGUGGCAGGACAAAUAUAGAGAGGGCUUUGGUGCAAUAAUUUGUAUAGGCCCCGCCUAUCGCAAGAGUGGCUAAAAGGUAGAUGCCCAUCCGUAAUACUUUGACAGCUAGGGCUUUACCAUACUACUAUCCCGGCAGGGUUGUAUUUAGUACUGAACAGUGUUUGUGUGUGAACAUAAUCAGGUUUUUGUAUGUUUGUGUUAAUGUAGGUAGGGGUAUGAUUGUAUGUAGUGUUGGCGUGAGUGCGUUUGUAUGUAGUGAUGACGUUUGAAUGCUGCCAUGUAUGCACAGAUUAACCUGCACUGUGAUUCACAUGCACACACACACACACAGAUAUGCACACUGACACACAUACAGACACACAUUAACACACAUGCAGAUGCAUGGAUACACAUACUGACCCAUGCAAAGAUAAAGACACACAGAUAAACACACUGACACAUAUGCAGAUAUACAGAAACACACAUACACAUACAUACAGACAACAUACAGAUACACAGACCUAUACUGAUACACAUACGGACACACUGACAGAUAUACAGACAAACACACACACUGACACACAUGCAAACUGACACAGAUACACAUAUUGAUAUACACUGAUACACAUGCAGAUACACAGACACAUGGAUAUAUAAACAUACAGACAUCAUACACAUACAGACACACGUUAACAUACAGAUACACACCGACAGAUAUAUAGACACACAAAAUGACAGACAUACAGAUACACGCACUAAGACAUAGAAAUACACACACAGACACACAUGCUGGCAAAAAUUUACACUUUUAUAGCCAUCCUCCAGAGGGUGUGCUUGCUCAGGAAGUUGGGCAUUAGGGUUUUUCUGUCCCUGCCUCUCUGGCUUCUCCUCCUCCCUUCCGCGUGGCUCCUAGUCUCUCUGGGAGGAAGUAACUGCCUAAUACAAAAUUCACUAUUUAGUAGAUAUGCCACCAUUGAAAACAUGCAUGCAAUAUAUUAUACAUUUUUUUUCAUGGGGGUAUAUCUAAAAACAGUUUGGAAACUUUACAAAUCUCUCAUCUGCAGCUUUUGCAAGCAAGUCUCUUCUACCCCUGUCCAAACUUUCUGUGACUGUCAAAUCUGAGACUUCCCAUUGCAAAGUCAUUGCAAGGUAGGUGCUCUGUGCAAUGAGCUGAGCUACCAGGAAGUAACAGGACUGGUUGUCUGAUUGACAGUCAAGGGGUGUAAAAGGGUUAAAUUAUAAAAGUGAUCUUUAACUAAAGAGUAAAUUGCUGGGAAUUUAAAGUAAGUUUCAAAGUUUAGUCCAAAUCAAGCUAUGCUAAUUUAUUAUUUUAUAUUAUUGAUAAGAUCCACAUCCAUGGUGGCUAUAAUAUUAAUAAAUUAAGAAAACUAUGGGUGGGGACUCUAAAAUUAAAAACAGGGAAGGAACCUAUGCCCACCUCCAUUUCCCAAUUUAGUGGAUGCAAGUGAUUGCUAUAUUAUUAAAUGGGGGGGACCUAAUGUCCCCCCUAUGGUAGGUGAAUUGGGGAUCUAAUAUUGCUAACAAAGAGGGAACUGAAACGGAUCCCCUAUACUCCGGCUGAGUAUAUGCGUUAUAUAUCCCGAGUCCCAAGUGCAGUAGUGAUUAUAGCCCAAGUUCCCCAAACAUCAGCCUAGACAUGAUGAAGUGUAAAAAGAAUCUGUUUCAUCUGGCCAACUAGCCCACUAAUAUACAAAAUCAGGAGGCUGGAAAACACGCCCAGAACACUCCCACAAUACGCCCACAAAAUGGUUACAAAUUCCAGAAUCAGCAUGACUAGGCAUGAAAAACAAAUUAUCAAAAACACAUAAAAAUAUUCAUAAAACAUAUAGGAACCCCCAUAAAUAUUACAUCCCUGGAUAGCUUGGAUUUGAGCUCCCAAGUUGUCCAAAUAGUGCUCAGAUCCCAAGAACACAGCCGAAUCGUCACCGGGGUAAAGUUUUGACCGACCGCACAUGAGGUGUCAGCUCAAAUAAGUUCCAGGGAUUCAGUGGUAGCAGCUAGUCACUUUCGGGAGUUCCAUAUUACCAAACUCAUCCUUUGGCUUGUUGGUAGCAUUUGUUCGUAUGGUUCAUAUGAACAAACCUACUGAACGGCGCUCUCCUGACAUGUGUGAAUAAGAAGCAGUCGUUCGUCAAAGUUCAUCUGUGUUCAGGAGUAACAGUGUCUGAUUGUAGUUCCAUGAACUCAACGACCGAACACUGCUGCCUGCAUUCUUGCAAACAUGAUGGCUGCCAACUCAGUUCCCACAUGUUCGUGCAUGUCACCCAGCCGAACAAUUAGAACCCUUGAUGAUUGAGGUGUCAGGAGAGGUCAAUAUGCAUUAAGAAGCACAGAGGUGGUCCGCAGUUCCUGAGUCUGUUUGGAUCCCAAAUAGUACAAAUAAACCCCACAAUUCAAAUCUUACAGGUCCUUUCCAUGGCCCAUAGUCCUGGGGCAGGAGGCUAGCUAGCAGGCUCCUCCAGGAGCUCGUGCCGAAGGCAAGUGUCACAAAAUCCUAAUUAAAUAUACUCUGGGAUGGAUAUGCCACUGUCCACACACUCUGAAAAUGUGUCCAUUACCAAUAAAAAACAAAACUACCUAACCCAUUCACCCUAAUAAUAAUGACUAAUACCUACCAUAUAAAAAUUAAUUAUAACCAAUGUGGCUAUUAAAAAUAAAAAAACAAAUAAUCCUUAGUAUCACCCUUCAUUCCAUUACCAAAAAUGUAAUUAGUUUUAAUUUAACCAUUAUGCCUCUUCACUUUAAUGAUUUAAUUAAUGGUAAGAAUGGAAUAGAUCUGUACACCCUCCCUUAUUCUUUAAAUUGAAGCCACCAGCUCAUGGGUGGUGCCACAGUUGGACCUUAUUAGCAAGUGGGCAGCAGUAGCUACCCAGUCUCUAGUUUACUGUUACAGUGAGCGCAUGUUAACAGAUAUGCCCACGCAUGGUGAGUGGGACAAUGAAGGAGGGAUAAAACCUCCCUUGUACUAAUAUGAAGGGCAUAUUAACUAUCACAGGCUUUUUAAAUAAUCUGCAUAUAUAUUUUUUUAAUGACCUGCACAAGUUUAAGUGGUUAACCAUACAAAAAUAUACAAUGUUCAGUGAGUAUUCAUUUAUAAAUGUAUGCUUGGAUCAUUAUAACUAGAUAAAACAGGCAUAGCAGUGGUAGCUAGUAACUUUUCAAGUUGGUGCGGUGCCAGACUGGACAAAGUCAAAUACAUAUGUAUUGAUUCAAAUACAUAUGUAUUUGACUUUGUCCAGUCUGGCACCGCACCAACUUGAAAAGUUACUAACAAACCAGUAACCAACCUCAUGCUGAUGAGUUGCAUUAACAAUGAAACAGCUGUCCAUGAGUGGUUCACUGGUUUUGCAUCUUUUCCUAUAUUGUGUUCCAAGCAGUUGUAUACAGCAAACACAGAUUAAAAGGAAUCCAUGUUUAAAAUGGAAGGAGGCAAAAAUGUGAUUCUUUGUUAAACUAAUUUGCAUAUGCCCACCCAGAAUCCUUUGCGGUUGUAACAUCGCUGCAGUUUGGGGAUUUCUGUGGGAAAAGCAAGUCUUAUGUCUUGACUGGUGUGCAGAUUUUUGUUUAAUAUAUAUAUAUAUAUAUAUAUAUAUAUAUAUAUAUAUAUAUAUAUAUUUUUUUUUAAUAGGAAUAUUUCUAUAUGACUCUCCUACCUCCAAAUAUGUGGAUUAUACCAUAUAUAGGGAAUAAACCAUAAUGACAUUUUCUAUCGUAACAAUGAGUCAAAUAAAUAGGCUAUUUGGGGCUAAACUCAAAUUACAAGUGUAAUACAGAGUUUGGCCCCUAGGUGCCGACAAAUAAUUAUUUUUCAAUUUCUUUUACUCUUUUAACGGUAAAAUGCAAGAGAAAAUAUAUAUUGCAUUAGAUACCAUGUAUUCCGAUUUUUGGUUAUAAAAGGAGGAGAUUCUCCUGAUAAGAAAAUUUAAUAAUAAUAAUUAUAAUACAAUAAAUAAGCAGCUUUACAGUGGCCAGACUACUUUAGUGACAGGUGCCUACUAUUGGAGUGGUGCCUGUCACUGGCCACACUACCCUCUGGGCCUUGGAGAUCUAUUUUAAUCCUAUUAGGGCAGGCGCCCAGUUGAAGCAGUGCCAGCCUUAAUAAGGUCCUUCAGACAUGCGGAGGUUGCUGUUCGAGGAGAGAGAAAUCAUUUCAUAUUAGCAGUGCCCGCUUUAUGGAGUUUAUUCAAAUGUUUGGCAGCCUGAGGGCACACAUUCAAACCACUCCUUCCUGAUUCCCUUUCUGUUUCCUUCCCCAUUCUAAAUCUGACCCCAGUUCCAUUUUCUUUCACCUAUAUCUUUAGCCAACUUCAGCCUUUUCUUCUCUUCCAUGUACUUUCAAGUCAAAUUUUAUUUUCGCUAAUAUCGUUUGUAACAAACAAUCCUUUUAAUUAUUUAUUUAUAUUUCCAAGUUUCUAACCAUUUAUCACUAACAAAGUGGGGCCAUUGUUUCAGAUUCAACUUUAUUCUCACUGUAUAACUUUACCAUCACUGUAUCCUACAAGGGCAAUGAAACACGGUUGGCCUCUGAUCAGAAAUAAAGUAGUGAUUGAUAAAAAUACUAUAUAAAAAAUGUACUCUCAGUGCAGGCUUUAGCAAUCCUUAACUAAUACCAUAGUACCUCUAAUCACUAAUAAAUACAGUCCUGAGCUAAACAACCAGGAAGUAACGGGACAGACUGUCUGAUUGACAGCCAGGGGGAUUUUAAGAAGGUUAAUUUAUAAAAGUGCCAAUUUCUACUGAAAUGUGAACUGUUUGAAAAAUAAAAAAAGGAGGGCCCAAUCCACACAUAAAGCACAUUAACAAGCAGAAUUGUAGAUCCAAUCCUUAAACGUCUGUUUGCUUACUUUGUUAAAGUUACAUUUCAACAACAUUGCAUGGUAAUUUUAUUUGUUUUAUGUGUAUUGCUAAUGCUCUUUAAUAAAAAUUACAAAAAUUCAAAAUAAAAAAAAUUUCAAAAAAUGGAAGCCUCCAAUUAUCAGUUGCCAAAUGUUUACUCUUGUGACAAGGAAACUACUAGCAAUUUCUUCCUAGUGCAAUGAACAAACCACUGUCACCGGGGGAACAGUCUAAGGAAGGUGCUUUAUAAAAUGAAUGUUACUAUAUUAUAACAAAUGUGUAAUGGAUCACUGAGGUAGUUAUUUUACUAAAUGUACCGUGUCACUUAACUAGUUUUAAAACUUAAGAUUGGUUGCCAAGAUUUAAAUGCCAUGUAUAGCAUUGUUUUCCUGUCAAACCACUGGUCUAACCGAUGAGGGCAUUGGUAUCCUUAACAAUUGGUCUAUUGCGUUCCAGACAUAUAUUACUAGUCCUUUAAACAAUUGAUUAAGUUUUUGUUUAGUAAUAUUUCAAUAUGACUGGAUAUUUCCCUGUUUUUUAAAGGACGAUCACCUGCUCUACUCAACAGUGAAUCACUCAGCAUCUUCUGGUCCUUCCAUACCCAAACAUCAGCCUGUUGUUGCUCCAGAUCUUGUCUACGCUGCUGUCAAAAUCAACUGACUUUAUUUUUACCAACUUAAACAGGAAUUUACAGCUAAAAUUCUCAAGUAGAGUUGAUAUGGCUGUUGUAGGUCUUACAGAAACCACAUUGCUAUGUAUUUCCAAAUUUGGGGAAUUUUGGUAUUGGUUCUGUUGCAGGAUUAUACAUAUAUAUAUGUGUGUGUGUGUGUGUGUGUGUGUGUGUAUGUGUGUG
Non-coding RNA from Pelobates cultripes (western spadefoot toad), 7784 nucleotides. The record is from the annotation of a GenBank genome assembly. NCBI's taxonomy places the organism in Eukaryota, Metazoa, Chordata, Amphibia, Anura, Pelobatidae.